RNAcentral lists this ribosomal RNA (496 nucleotides) under uncultured bacterium. Its description in RNAcentral is "bacterial SSU rRNA". It matches the Rfam family "Bacterial small subunit ribosomal RNA", at positions 30 to 507 of the family's 1533-position model. The record is from RNAcentral.
AUGAACGCUAGCGGCAGGCUUAAUACAUGCAAGUUGAGGGGCAGCAUGAUAUACGCGAGUAUAUUGGAUGGCGACCGGCGGACGGGUGAGUAAUAGGUAGGAGACCUACCUCAGUACAGGGGGAUAGCAUAGAGAAAUCUGUGGUAAUACCCCAUGAGGUUAUAUGAAUAGAGGCAUAUAAUCAAAGCAUAAGCGAUUAUGCGGUAUGAGAGGGGCCUACUGACCAUUAGCUAGUUGGUGAGGUAAGGGCUCACCAAGGCGAAGAUGGUUAGGGGUUUUGAGAGAGAGACCCCCCACAUUGGAACUGAGAGACGGUCCAGACUCCUACGGGAGGCAGCAGUAGGGAAUAUUGGGCAAUGGGCGAAAGCCUGACCCAGCCAUGCCGCGUGAAGGAAGACGGCCUUAUGGGUUGUAAACUUCUUUACUACGCGAAUAGAGGUUAGUACGAGAUACUAAUAGGAAGGUAGUGUAGUAAAAAGCACCGGCUAACUCCGUG